AUGAAGCCUGUGGCAAAGAAACAAUUCUCUUUCUACUGACUAAUAAAUCAAAGGCUUAAUAAAGUGGGAUCUCGCACUUGUGAAUCCUGUUGAGUCACUCUAUCUGGUUCUGUUGCUGUAGUAGGCACAGAGAUUAGAUAUUCAUUGAGGAGUAAAUAUCUAAAAAUCUAUAGACUAGCUUUUCAGCAGAAAUGGAGGCUGCAGUGAAACUAGACUUUUUCCAAGUGCUUGCUGUUCCUGUUUUCAAGUUAGGAAGGUAGAUUUUUUUUUUUUUUUAACUGAAUUACUGACCUGUUAGCUCCUGGCCAUCUUCAUCUCAUAAAUAGUGUGUUGAUGGCUUUACUGUAGUAUUUUGGGUACUACUGACUCUUUGCCCCAGGUGUUGCACUGAUCAUUUACUACUUAGCAUUUCUAUCAUCCUGUACCAAGAGACUAACAAAUGGUAGUUAAAUCAUGGUGUCCAAAAUAAACAGUGAGGCGGGAAGAUGUCUUCAGCUAGCAUCUGCCUCUACAAGCUAUAGUUUAAAUACCGCUGCUGCUGCUGUAUGUUACCUAGUUUGCUGGCUAUGAUGUGCAUACAAUUAUCUCCCGAAGUGUCCCGCUUCAGAGUGCAGUCUAAUUUCCUAUUUGUCCAUAACUGCAUCAGCUCAAUUCAUAGCAUAUUAAAAAAACAAAUAAAA
Long non-coding RNA from Dermochelys coriacea (leatherback sea turtle), 680 nucleotides. RefSeq lists it as uncharacterized. The record is from RefSeq and is a predicted model, not a curated record. The transcript is spliced from 2 exons. Lineage: Eukaryota; Metazoa; Chordata; Testudines; Dermochelyidae.